CCAAGGGCAAUAUUUUCUCCUCACCGUCCCUGUUCUCUUCCCUCUUCCUUCCAGCAGCCGCCGCUCCGCCGCUUCCCAAUCUCCUCCCCUCACCGGAAAGUCCGGAAUACAAGCUUCUCGCCCCAUUCUUCAUCCCGACCUUCCUCUGUUCUUGAACUCUUCUCCCCGUCCCCAAAGGCACCGCACCAGCAGCCGUCCUCUGCCGCAACCACUGCCCCCUGUCGCAUGUGCUGACCGCCGCUGUCAACUGCCUCCAUUUCCAAACUCACCCUGAUAACUCGACCACCAGUUUCAAAGUAAGGAUACUUUUGCCUCGGCCGCUCGCGGACCAUGCCUCAUACGCCGUCGCCGUCGCCAUCUCGGCCCUCCAAAAAGGGGUCAUCGGCUGGAAUAGUCGUCCAUUUUCAAUUCGGCCGAGGUAGUGGAUAAUUAUUGCAAUGGUACCUUCGGGGGCGAAGUGAUUGAACUCAUUUCACCCUCUGGCUCGUCGAGAGUCCUCGCGCAGGUGAUAGGCGUUGGGAUGCAGAUCUUCCGCUUCUAAGGUGCUCCCCAGUGGAACCAGAUUUGGAUUGGAACGGUAGUGGGGCUGUAUCAGCCUAACUUCUGAUGGUUUCCUGGGUACACUGGGCUUGUUGGGGUAAGAAGUUGCUGCUAUUUUUUUGCUUGAAGGGGGAACCGGUGGAUCAUAGUUCUGUUGAGAAGGUUAUAGUCUAUGGUUGGACACGCAGACAAUCGAUCUUUACAAUUUUUUAAUUACUUAUUCUAUCAUUCUAGCGUAUAUAGCUCGGGUUGAAAAUAAUACUUCCUCCAUCCAUAAAAGAAUAUCUUAGAUUUGUCUAAAUUUAGAUGUAUGUAGACACUAUUUAAGGCAUCCUUUUAUGGACGAAGGAAGUAUGUGGCUUAAUCGGAUUCAUAUAACUGAAAAAAUAUUGUACUUUGAUGGAAAAGAGUUCAGAUAGUAUCAAGAAUUGAUCUUGACUGCUGAUACGAUCGCACAAUGUCUAUCCUUUAGAGCUACUUUAAGUUUGUGUUGGAUUAACAUAUAUUGUGAAGCAUGGUUCAGAUUGGUGGUUUCCUCCUGAAAGGUGCUACAUGUUUGUUUGGGGUAUGGAGCAAACUUUAUCGUGCAAGCUGAGUUCAGAUGCUAACGUGGGCACGGAUGAUCUGAAUGAAACUCUGAAACCCCCAAUUUGAAAUUCAAAAAGGGGUGCCAGGAGGUGGGACAACUGCUUUGGGGUUCUUGGUCGUACACUAUAUAUUGAGCAUCUUUGGGCUAGAAUGCUCAUGUUAGUCUCUUGGAGGACGAAAAUCUCCCUGACUUAUUCGUAGUUUCAUCUAUGGUUUCUAUUAUAAUUCCUUUGUAGAGGUGACCUACUGCCUAUGAUGAUUGUUGGCAGUAGUAACCAAAAUUGAUUGUGACCCCUUGUGUGUAUGAGGGGUUGGUCAAGUAGAAAUUAGUGGUCGUAGAAGCAGGUUCAGGUAUUUUACUACCCUGAAAUGAGGUUUGGUGCACCAGGCCUACGACCAUGACCUGCAUUUCUUUAUCCCUUUUAUGCCGUAUUAGCAUAUGCAGACAUAGUUUAUGCUUAUAAUAUUCACACACAGGCAUAGCUAUGUAGUUCUACUAAAUGCAGUUAAUGGCUUUAAUAACCAUAGCCAGUAGAUAUUGUUGAAUAUUUUAGUGAGCUAAUGUCGAACUGAGCAAAUGGUGUGCUUGGAUGCUCUGAUAUUGUGAACUUUGGUUUCACCUUCAAAUCAGAUUGUAAGUUGUACCUCCUCUACAACUGUUCUUAUUAGUCUGCAUGUAUAAGCUAGCAGAUAGCUCUGUCAUGCUUAAAAUGUUCAGAUGUCUGACUCUUACAUGUUACCAAUGUUGAGCAAAUACUAAAGUUGCAUAUAGAGGAUAUAUACUUAAAUAGUGUACAAUACUUUGUCAUCCAUCCAACCGAUGAAAUAAUUCCUCUGGCAUUGCCCAACUGAGCCUGGGGAUUAGAAUCAAAUACUCCAACUUUCCUCUAUCAGGGAUAGUUCCUCCAGCAGCUUCUAAUAAUGUUUCUUUCGGCUUGCACAAAACGCUUGAGAUGAUAUAAGUGUGUCUUCUAAUAGUUUGCAGCCAUCUAUUUCAAAGAACAUGACAUUACUAUAUCCUUUGCAUUAAAAAAUUAAUUGUGUCUACCAUCAUAAGAAUAUGCUAUUAAAAACAGUUUUACUUGAUCAUGAUACAAGUGCUAAUGUUUUUUUUCCUGAAUUGGAAAAAAAUUCAAAGCGGCAAAAGCAUUUGAGAUUGUCUGCACUCUGCCUACCUCUUUCCCAAGAUUAAAUUUAUGUAUUUACACUGUAUCUACAAAUUAUUCACUUACUUUUCUGCCUACUUUGAGUUUUCCGCUUUUAUUAAUGCCUUCUCUAUCUACUGUAAUUUUCCAAUCUUCAGGCUUACUUCGUAUCGGAUGUAAUUAUAGCUGAUAACAAACACUUCAGUGACAUUGCCCAACUGAGCCUGGGGAUUAGAAUCAAAUACUCGCAACUUUCCGCUAUCAGGGAUAGUUCCUCCAGCAGCUUCUAAUAAUGUUUCUUUCGGAUUGCACAAAACGCUUGAGACAAUAUAAGUCUGCCUUCUAAUAGUUUGCAGCCAUCUAUUUCAAAGAAUAUGACAUUACUAUGUCCUUUGCAUUAAAAAUAUAUAUUGUGUCUACCAUCGUAAGAAUGUGCUAUUAAAAACAGUUUUACUUGAACUAUGAUACAGGUGCUAAUGUUUUUUUUCCUGAAUUGGAAAAAAAAUUCAAAACGGCAAAAAAUAUAUUGUGUCUACCAUUGUCUGCACUCUGCCUACCUCUUUCCCAAGAUUAAAUUUAUCUAUUUACACUGUAUCUACAAAUUAUUCACUUAUUUUCUGCCUACUUUAAGUUUCCCUCUUUUAUUAAUGCCUUCUCUAUCUACUGCAGUUUUCCAAUCUUCAGGCUUACUUCGUAUCGGAUGUAAUUAUAGCUGAUAAACUCUUCAGUUAUAGUUUGAUGAGUAGCAAAUGGUCAUGUGAUACCAAACAAAUUAUGAUAGGGUAAUAACAACACUUUAUGAUUUUUGGCAAAAAAAGAGGCGUUUCAGUAAAAAAAUGUCUGCACAAACUUAUUUUCGAAUUGUACUGCAGCUGAAAGUUGCAAAUUUAGGUUAGAGCAACUGUGUUUUCUUAAAAAUGGGAGAACUAUCACCAUUUUAUGUGUCAGAUUUCAGCCAAGAUGGUCCUGGGACAUCAUUUUGAAGGCAGAAAGGUAUGCGCAACCCCUGGGGAAUGACAGAGGUGGCAUGUUUGACUACAAAGCCGACGGCUAGGCGAGGUUGCGUCUGGAACUCUGGACUGCCAGAAAAGCAACUUCGAGAAGCCCACUCCGAUGUGUGUCACCACCUGCGCUAUCUUCUUUUGCCUCAUCUCCUUCGCUUGUGGCAUGUAGCAUAUGUUCUUCCUAUUGGGAUCCACAAAUGGCAAGUUAUUCAUAUGGGGCCGGGGCAUAGCUCACAUUUCGAAAAAAAAUGUUAGAGUUUUGAUGCUGCACCAUGUGAUGAUCCGUUCACAGGUGGCGGAUUGUUCUGAUUAGGAGCAGAUUUGGGAAGGUAAGCUUAGGUUGAGAGAAUUUUCGUUCUGAUGCAUUUCCAUGGUUCCAAAAUUUAUGUUAUGAUGGUUAUUUGCACAAUUUUGCAGAAUGAGAUGAGGAAACGCUGCUUGAAAGUGUCUGAAUUUUUAGUCUACAAAGACUAGGAAUUAGGAGUGCAGAGUGUGUGAGAUUGUUCAACCAUUGAUGCUUUCCCUUUAUGAGUUGUCCCUGUUCGCCUUUUCCUAUUCUGACUUCAGGAAAGCUAACAUAACCCUUUGAGUUUUGCAACAUGAUUAUGUUUGUAACAUUCAUGCACAAGCAUAGCUGUGUAGUUCUACUAAAUUCAGUUAAUGGCUUUAUUAACUGUAGACCGUAGAUAUUGUUGAUUAUUUUAGCGAGCUAAUGUCUAACUGAGCAAAGAGGGUGCUUGGAUGCUCUGAUAUUAUUGACGUUGGUUUCACCUUCAAAUCAGAUUUAGGCAAGCUGAACCAGAGGGGGAAUCAGCACAAGUGAAGGAGCAGUGGUCCGGAAGCUGUUUUGAUGCUUACUAUCUCAUGGUUGAGGUGGGUCAGAUUACAUUCGUGUUUUAAUUCUCUUGUUCCUGCUCAGGUAUACCUUUAUGCUAUCUAAUGUUGGGUCUUUUGAUGAACUAAAGCUACCCAACAUUGCAAAGAGAUUGUUGCUGCACUCACGUACAAUAUCGCUCCCAUCCCAAUUGUCGAUCCCUGUUCAGUUUUCUAAUUUGUGGGUAAUGCAUGUUCACUGCCCUUGUGAGAUAUAGGUUGCUGAUAUAUGAUGGCAUUGUAUACUUACGAAGCACACCACUAAAAAUCAUGAUCCUAAAAGUAUGUAUGUAGAUAGCUGUUUAUUCUUGAUAAGCCUUCCUCCACUUUUGUCGUUGCACCUUAGAUAACUGAGCAAUGCAUGUAUGAUCGCUUAUAUAUGGCAUACGAAGUUUUUCUCUACCUUCUUACCAUCACAACUCUUAGUCCUUCUCCAGCGUAGAUGGUUCUACUCAUAUGCAAAGAUAUUCAGUUUCAUUGGCCUUGAUUUCUUAUAUUCUUUUUUGUCCUUAUGAUUACGAGACUAGACAAUAAUGGUGUUCUUGGAGGGUCUGAUACACUGGUUCCCAUGGACAUGUUUGAGAACUAUGUGCAUGUAUCACCGGUGGGCUCAUGCUAGGCAAGCAAUUAUAGAACAGUUUGUCCUUUUAAUUGUAAUUGGUACUGGCUGCAUUACUUGCCUUGUUGA
Non-coding RNA from Lolium perenne, 4838 nucleotides. NCBI's taxonomy places the organism in Eukaryota, Viridiplantae, Streptophyta, Magnoliopsida, Poales, Poaceae. The record is from RefSeq and is a predicted model, not a curated record.